ACAGAGACUGCAAGCGUUAUUCGGAUUCACUGGGCGUAAAGGGUGCGCAGGCGGCCGUGUGUGUUGGGCGUGAAAGCCCGGGGCUUAACCCCGGAAUUGCGCUCAAAACUAUAUGGCUAGAGCAUUGGAGAGGGUAGCAGAAUUCAUGGUGUAGCAGUGAAAUGCGUAGAUAUCAUGAGGAAUACCAGAGGCGAAGGCGGCUACCUGGACAAUUGCUGACGCUCAGGCACGAAAGCGUGGGGAGCAAAAGGGAUUAGAAACCCCCGUAGUCC
Molecule: ribosomal RNA, 272 nt
Filed under: uncultured bacterium
Lineage: Bacteria
Description: partial 16S ribosomal RNA
Rfam family: Bacterial small subunit ribosomal RNA
Source: RNAcentral